This 635-nucleotide ribosomal RNA is filed under the name Clitopilus prunulus. RNAcentral describes it as "eukaryotic LSU rRNA". The stretch from base 237 to 390 matches the Rfam family "5.8S ribosomal RNA". Lineage: Eukaryota; Fungi; Basidiomycota; Agaricomycetes; Agaricales; Entolomataceae. The record is from RNAcentral.
UUAUUGAAUAAACUUGGUCAAGUUGUUGCUGGUCCCUCGGGACAUGUGCACGCCUGCCACCAAUUUUAACCACCUGUGCACCUUUUGUAGGCUGGAAACAAUUCUCGAGAUACCUCGGUUUGAGGACUGCUGUGCGAAAGCCGGCUUUCCUUGUGUUUCUCAGUCUAUGUUUUAUUAUACCCCGCAUGUAUGUAUCAGAAUGUAUUGCUGGGCCUCAGUGCCUAUAAAUCAAAUACAACUUUCAACAACGGAUCUCUUGGCUCUCGCAUCGAUGAAGAACGCAGCGAAAUGCGAUAAGUAAUGUGAAUUGCAGAAUUCAGUGAAUCAUCGAAUCUUUGAACGCACCUUGCGCUCCUUGGUAUUCCGAGGAGCAUGCCUGUUUGAGUGUCAUUAAAUUCUCAACCCUACAAGUUUUUUUCGAACCUGUAUGGCUUGGAUCAUGGGAACUGCGGGCUUGGAUAAAGUCGGCUUUCCUUAAAUGUAUUAGCAGAACUUUUGUUGCUAACCUCUGGUGUGAUAAUUAUCUACGCUAUUGAGAGGCGACAUGUUAAAGUACUGCUUCUAAUCGUCUGUCACGGACAACAUUUGACAAUCUGACCUCAAAUCAGGUAGGACUACCCGCUGAACUUAAGCAU